This 250-nucleotide ribosomal RNA is filed under the name uncultured archaeon. RNAcentral's name for it is "partial 16S ribosomal RNA". It matches the Rfam family "Bacterial small subunit ribosomal RNA", at positions 524 to 774 of the family's 1533-position model. The record is from RNAcentral.
UACGUAGGGGGCGAGCGUUAUCCGGAUUCAUUGGGCGUAAAGCGCUCGUAGGCGGCCUGCUAGGUCGGGAGUCAAAUGCGGGGGCCCAACCCCCGGCCGCUCCCGAUACCGGCGGGCUUGAGUUUGGUAGGGGAAGGCGGAAUUCCCGGUGUAGCGGUGGAAUGCGCAGAUAUCGGGAAGAACACCGGUGGCGAAGGCGGCCUUCUGGGCCACAACUGACGCUGAGGAGCGAAAGCUGGGGGAGCGAACA